This is a long non-coding RNA of Anneissia japonica, 1361 nucleotides long. RefSeq lists it as uncharacterized. NCBI's taxonomy places the organism in Eukaryota, Metazoa, Echinodermata, Crinoidea, Comatulida, Comatulidae. The transcript is spliced from 4 exons. The record is from RefSeq and is a predicted model, not a curated record.
CGAUUGCUCAACUUUGACCUCCUGACCUUGGUUAUUUAAAGAGAGAUGGUCGUCGUAUCGUGAAGUCUAGGCUUUGCUUUCGUCUCAAAUAUUGACUCUUAUAAGUAUGGGUCUUUUUGGAUUUAUGGGCGGAUUCAUUUCUGGUACUGUCUUUGGAAUCUAUGCAACUCAGCAUUAUGACAUUCCAGACAUAAUGAAUCUAUUUGCAACCCUGAAAGAAUCAGCAAAAAAAUAUGAAAAGAAAGACUUAGCUUUACCACCGAAAAAAGAAGACAGUUGACCAAAAUAGUGAGUGGAUUUUCUUUUCGGAUGAAUUUUGUGAAAUCAAGGCCCAAUAUUAUGUGCUUGGUCCAAAAGAGGAAUACAAAUGAGGAAGAAAUACUGUAAUAUUUUUUUCUAAAAAUAUGUAUAUAUAUGGAAUGUUUGUAUGUACAGUAAUUGAGAGGUUCAUGUUAUUACCUAAUUGUAUUAGUAAAUGCAAAGAGGAUGCAGCAAUCUGGGCUAGGGUUAAAGGUGGUGCCUCUUGUAAAGAAAUCUAAAUUGAUUAGUUAACUUCACAUAUUGAUAAUUUUUUUGUUUAGUUUACUAUACAAUAAUUGGUACAGUGUACCAAUUUAAUUCUACAAUUCCCCCUCAGGAAAAAGCACAUCAUUACAAACAAUUGUACUAAUUCAUUCAGAUUUUACAGUAGUCAGUCAUAUGUGUAUACAUACUAAAUAACAUUGGGUUAUCUAAUGGUUUAUAUAUAUACUUAAUAUGAAAGUCAGGUCUCAUGGGAGGUCCAUGUUAUAUUGAUAAUUUUUUUGUUUAUUUUACUAUACAAUGUUACAGUGUACCAAUUUAAUUCUGCAAUCCCCCUCUAACCUGCAAUUGGGUGUGGCCCCGGCUGACAGCUUUUGGAGACACUUACAGUAAUUGGUUGGUCGAAUUGAGGAGCCUAUGCAGUGUAUGCGAUUUUAUUGAAAAUUUCGAGUCAGUGUAACCAGACGUUAGGUGAAAUAGGAAAGUCAAAGUAUGUAUUCCAAUUUUGGAACUGACCCCUGCCCAGACCUGCAGAAAUAUACUUGAAUAAAUUAUAGCCAUAAUAAUGGGCCUUCUGAGGUCAAGAUUUUGUAUGUUAAUUCUUCAGUAGUAUAUAGUGUAUUGAAAAAAAAAAAUGUCUUCAUGAAGAAUGUAUGGACAUUAAAACAUUUACAGUAUGGAAGGUAAAUUACUGCAAACUGUGCAUGUAUGCUAUAAUCAAAACCUAUAAAUUUUAGUUCUCUCAUGUUGAUCAGUGUGGAUAUGUACAGUAUUUUUUUUUUAAAUGACAAAUUGAGGGGACUCAUGACUCCCCUCAAAAUAAAGUUUUGAAAGUUGCA